Molecule: ribosomal RNA, 451 nt
Filed under: uncultured bacterium
Lineage: Bacteria
Description: bacterial SSU rRNA
Rfam family: Bacterial small subunit ribosomal RNA
Source: RNAcentral
GCUAAGAAUAUUCCGCAAUGGAGGAAACUCUGACGGAGCGACGCCGCGUGGAUGAUGAAGGUCGGAAGAUUGUAAAAUCCUUUUAUGACUGAGGAAUAAGCCGGGUGAGAGAAACGCCUGGUGGUGACUGUAGGUCAUGAAUAAGCAACGGCUAAUUACGUGCCAGCAGCCGCGGUAACACGUAAGUUGCGAGCGUUGUUCGGAAUUAUUGGGCGUAAAGGGCAUGUAGGCGGUAUUGCAAGCCUGGUGUGAAAGGCAGGGGCUCAACCUCUGGACUGCGCUGGGAACUGCGAUACUAGAGUCGCUGAGGGGCAAUCAGAAUUCCAGGUGUAGGGGUGAAAUCUGUAGAUAUCUGGAAGAAUACCAAUGGCGAAGGCAGGUUGCCAGCAGAUGACUGACGCUGAGGUGCGAAGGUGCGGGGAGCAAACAGGAUUAGAAACCCUAGUAGUCC